CAUCACCCUCCUGCCAGGGGUUGAAGUCAGGAAGUAGUUUAUUUUCGCUGAAACUGAAGGGGGAAGUUAAAGAGAAAAAUAGCUGCAACUUGGUCAAUUCAGGAAAACCAGGUACGAAAAAAGAGGAGCAAGUUAAAGGGAAAGCCAGCUCGGAUUUGCUCACCAGUAAAAGGCAAAAAUCCCAGUGUUAUUCAUCUGCAUUUGGUGUGAAAGACAAAAGCUCAACUGGGAUCUGAGGCUUUCUGUGUCAGAGGGCAAGGAGUCAAUGGGGUUAUGAGGAAGUAAGACCACUUGAGACAUCAAAGAAAAGUAGAUCAAAUCACUAGACUCCUCCAAACAGGAGUGGGUGAAGACAAAAAGUGGAGAGAAUCCAGAGGGAAGAGAGGAGUAGGGAAAAUGGUGGAAAGGGAAGGUUUUUGAGAUGGAAGGCAGAGAAUGGGAACAAAAGAAGAAAAAGCUGUUUGUUUCAAAUCAAUAUUCUCCAAGAGGAUGUCUUGUUUCCCCAGGGAUAUUCUGAGGGACUCACAGGAUCAGAGCUGCGACACUUCUAACAUAUGAAUUCUCUCAAUUCUGAUGCCCUUUGACCUCUGCCACACAAUGCCAAGACAAACCCAGACCCCAGGCCCUGGAAACAGAGGAGGGGCAGGCAGAUUGACUGGCAAGCCUAUCACCACCUUGAUAACAGAUGACAUUAAAGAGAAAGUAUCAAUGUGAGGAUUAAAUGGGAUGAAAAAUAAAACAUCUGUCGGAGUGCCUGGAAUAUGGUACACAAAUAUCCAAGAUUGGAAAGAAGAAAGAAAAUGACGACAGAAUUUUGCAGUCUACAAGGCAAACACUGCCAUUCAUGUAGUUAUGGAGUUCCUACUAUGUGCAGACAAUGGGAAACUUUACGAAGGGUUUUAAAAAGCAGCAGGUUUAAGAGCUGACCAUAUCUGAAAGACUCUAGAAUAGCAGAGGAUUGAUUAAAGGUCUGUGGCCACAGAUUGGAUGUGUUGAUUUUAUUUCCCCAAAGGUAUCCACAUAGCAACUUGGCAGUACACACAUAUCCCAAAUAUAUGUACACAGUGUUUACAGAAAAUACUAAUUGUACCCUUACCUAAAAUGUUAGGUCCCAUUUUCAUUUUAAAGACUCAUUAUGCUUUUCAUGAACUAACACUUUUGUUCAUUUCAAUUCUGUCAUGAAUUCGAAAGAAGGACACAGCAAAUAGGUACUUAACUAAAGUAAGUGCUUUCUCCCAUGGUUUUAUCAAUCCAAGUCUAUGGACAUAAUACAGAAUCAAGAAUCCAAGGAAACUGCUCUGAAUUUCACUGUAAGCAUAGCUCAUUUUUUUGACCUGUUGAUUGCAGUUAAUUUAACGUCACGACCUGCACCUCAGAAUCUCUCAUGUCCCCUGCAGCUUUGUCAAGAUGCUUUGUAUAUAGCUGGUACCCAGAGAAGGUUUGCCACAUUGCACGGAGUUGAUCACCCAUUUUAUUCACUGGAUUUGGCUUUGAGCAACUUACACUUUUUUCUCUCCAAAAAUUAAGUCCACCCACGAAGGAAAAAGGCAGAAGGAUGCUGUGGCAAAAAUGCUAUCCUGGAAAACAGAUCUUGGCCCUGGUCCCAGCUCUCUGUGACUUUGGACACAUCAGUUGAUCUUUUUAGAUCAAAUUUCCCCAUAAAAGGGGGUACUAGACAAGAUGCAUGUGCCAGACUGCCAAGGCCAAGGCACACCCUAAGCCACUCAUAGUAAUAUCCCUGGAACUGUAGACCCUUGCAGAGAGAUUAUAGAAGUGAUUUUGAAUAAUUAUUGAGUUAAGUGCUAGCAUUCCAGCAUGACCGCUUCAAAAGAGGUAAUGCAUAUUUUUUUUUGUAUUUUUUUGGCUUUUUUUAAAGUUACAUUACUUUAGUGUUAUAUGUCAUAUAGUCAUUAGGAAUUCCAAGAGAGCAAAUGUCAACAAAGGUCUGAAGUUGUUUGGCAUUUUAUCAAUCAUUAUUUAGAGUUUUCUUUUUUUCUUUUUUUUUUCUUAAUGUGGU
Molecule: long non-coding RNA, 2017 nt
Filed under: Homo sapiens (human)
Lineage: Eukaryota; Metazoa; Chordata; Mammalia; Primates; Hominidae
Description: HSALNT0079190
Source: RNAcentral